Molecule: ribosomal RNA, 483 nt
Filed under: uncultured bacterium
Lineage: Bacteria
Description: bacterial SSU rRNA
Rfam family: Bacterial small subunit ribosomal RNA
Source: RNAcentral
UAGCGGAACUCCUACGGGAGGCAGCAGUGGGGAAUAUUGGACAAUGGGCGAAAGCCUGAUCCAGCCAUGUCGCGUGUGUGAAGAAGGUCUUCGGAUUGUAAAGCACUUUAAGUUGGGAGGAAGGGCAGUAAGCUAAUACCUUGCUGUUUUGACGUUACCGACAGAAUAAGCACCGGCUAACUUUGUGCCAGCAGCCGCGGUAAUACAGAGGGUGCAAGCGUUAAUCGGAAUUACUGGGCGUAAAGCGCGCGUAGGUGGUUUGUUAAGUUGGAUGUGAAAGCCCCGGGCUCAACCUGGGAACUGCAUCCAAAACUGGCAAGCUAGAGUAUGGUAGAGGGUGGUGGAAUUUCCUGUGUAGCGGUGAAAUGCGUAGAUAUAGGAAGGAACACCAGUGGCGAAGGCGACCACCUGGACUGAUACUGACACUGAGGUGCGAAAGCGUGGGGAGCAAACAGGAUUAGAUACCCGGGUAGUCCACUUAUG